RNAcentral lists this ribosomal RNA (1141 nucleotides) under uncultured fungus. Its description in RNAcentral is "eukaryotic LSU rRNA". The stretch from base 512 to 1141 matches the Rfam family "Eukaryotic large subunit ribosomal RNA", at positions 1 to 649 of the family's 3401-position model. The record is from RNAcentral. Lineage: Eukaryota; Fungi.
AGUCGUAACAAGGUUUCCGUAGGUGAACCUGCGGAAGGAUCAUUACAGAGAACAUGCCCCCCGGGGUAGAUCUCCAACCCUAUGUUUACCAAACCCGUUGCUUUGGCAAGCCCGCCUGUGGGCCGCCGGCAUUCAUGCUGGCCAGCGCUUGCCAGAGGACCCUAAAACUCAUAUUGAUUGUCGUCCGAGUAUCAUAUAAUAUUGAAAACUUUCAACAACGGAUCUCUUGGUUCUGGCAUCGAUGAAGAACGCAGCGAAAUGCGAUAAGUAAUGUGAAUUGCAGAAUUCAGUGAAUCAUCGAAUCUUUGAACGCACAUUGCACCCCUUAGUAUUCUGGGGGGUAUGCCUGUUCGAGCGUCAUUACAACCCUCAAGCCCGGCUUGGUGUUGGGCCUUACCGCUACGGUAAGCCCUAAAAUUAGUGGCGGAGCCGCUCGGUUUCCAGCGUAGUAAAUCUCUCGCUGUGGGAUCGUAGCGUGCCUUCCGCCAGCAACCCCCAAUUUAACAAAGGUUGACCUCGGAUCAGGUAGGGAUACCCGCUGAACUUAAGCAUAUCAAUAAGCGGAGGAAAAGAAACCAACAGGGAUUGCCUCAGUAACGGCGAGUGAAGCGGCAACAGCUCAAAUUUGAAAUCUGGCCUCACGGUCCGAGUUGUAAUUUGUAGAGGAUGCUUCGGGCGUGGUCUAGUCUAAGUUCCUUGGAAUAGGACGUCAUAGAGGGUGAGAAUCCCGUAUGCGUCUGGGUGCCUAAGCCUAUGUGAAGCUCCUUCAACGAGUCGAGUUGUUUGGGAAUGCAGCUCUAAAUGGGUGGUAAAUUUCAUCUAAAGCUAAAUAUUGGCCAGAGACCGAUAGCGCACAAGUAGAGUGAUCGAAAGAUGAAAAGCACUUUGGAAAGAGAGUUAAACAGUACGUGAAAUUGUUGAAAGGGAAGCGCUUGCAACCAGACUUGCAUCUAGCUGAUCAUCCGAUGUUCUCACCGGUGCACUCAGCUAGAUUCAGGCCAGCAUCGGUUUCGGUGGUUAGAUAAAGGCCCUAGGAAUGUAGCUUCCCCCGGGGAGUGUUAUAGCCUAGGGUGCAAUGUAGCCUACCGGGACCGAGGACCGCGCUUCUGCUAGGAUGCUGGCGUAAUGGUUGUAAGCGACC